UAGCGUCUCAUAAAAGUAUCAUGGCACGGGACAAUGGUAGGUACAGGCCGUUCAUACUAACCAGAUCGACGUUUGCCGAAAGUCAGAGGUACGCAGCAAAAUGGAGUGGGGAUAACGACGGGUUGUUUGAGGAUAUGCGUUUUACUGUGCCUAUGACAAUGGCAGCGAAUUUAGCUGGAAUUGUGUUUUACGGAGCCGACGUUCAGAUAUGGGGCUACAGAGGAACUGACCAUCAGAUGGUAUCAGCUCGGAAGUUGGAUUCCGUUCUACAGAGCACACGCGUGGUCGGGCCCAAGACGAGAGCCUUACACCUUUAGUCCUGAUGUUCAAGACCUCCUUCGGGAAGCUAUAGGAUAUAUAGGCCUUAUUGGUACACUGUUUUCUACGAACACACCUUACGUGGUGACCCCCUCAUCAGACCAUUGCUCUACGAUUAUUCGCAAGACGAUCAAACGUACGAUAUUAAUGAUCAAUUUUUCCUUCGCACUGAUAUUAUGGUUGCGUCAGUUUAUGAAUCAAAUCUAACAUCAGUCCGAGUAUACUUUCCUGGAGGCAAGCAGCAGAAAUAGUAUCAAGUACUUGAUAGUCAAAAUAUCAGCAGGGUUUUUCAAGGCGCGGAAUGGGGCGAUAUUCCAGUGGAUAUAAGUUUUAUUCCUAUAUUCUAUAGAGGCGGUAGUAUAAUACCCAGAAAAGAGAGAGUUGGGAGAUCCACAACGGAUAUGCGCAAUGAAAGUAUUACUCUGCAUGUGAUUCCAGACGAAAACAAUAUUGCUGAAGGCAAGUACAUAAUGAUUUUUUUUGUUCUAGUAUAAUAGAUGACUCUGAUUGGGACGAUAUUGAAUUUUCGUUUGCCAAGAUUAUUGUGUAUAAUCCAAACGAUAACGGAACGUACAAUAUCCAAGAAUUUUCCCUCGACCCAGAAAGAAAUCCGUUUUCUAUACAAGACAUUGUUAAAACGUUGGCUUGGCAAAAAAGC
Long non-coding RNA from Cylas formicarius (sweet potato weevil), 976 nucleotides. RefSeq lists it as uncharacterized. The transcript has 6 exons. NCBI's taxonomy places the organism in Eukaryota, Metazoa, Arthropoda, Insecta, Coleoptera, Brentidae. The record is from RefSeq and is a predicted model, not a curated record.